This 240-nucleotide ribosomal RNA is filed under the name uncultured bacterium. Its description in RNAcentral is "partial 16S ribosomal RNA". It matches the Rfam family "Bacterial small subunit ribosomal RNA", at positions 94 to 334 of the family's 1533-position model. The record is from RNAcentral.
AGCGGCGGACGGGUGAGUAACGCGUGGGUAACCUGCCUCAUACAGGGGGAUAACAGUUGGAAACGGCUGCUAAUACCGCAUAAGCACACAGUACCGCAUGGUACCGUGUGAAAAACUCCGGUGGUAUGAGAUGGACCCGCGUCUGAUUAGCUAGUUGGUGGGGUAACGGCCUACCAAGGCGACGAUCAGUAGCCGACCUGAGAGGGUGACCGGCCACAUUGGGACUGAGACACGGCCCAA